CGCCGCGGCGGGGGCCUGGAUGGCCGCCCGCCAUGCGGUGGCGGCUCUGGUGCGGCGGUGGACGUCGGAACGGCGUACCAGGCAUCGCCGCCGUGCCC
This 98-nucleotide transfer RNA is filed under the name Actinoplanes siamensis. RNAcentral's name for it is "tRNA-Arg". Lineage: Bacteria; Bacillati; Actinomycetota; Actinomycetes; Micromonosporales; Micromonosporaceae. The record is from RNAcentral.